GCUAGUUGUGGGCCAGCGGCGGUGGUGAUGCGGGGGUGGCGUGUGUGUGGCGGAAGGAGUGGGCGUAAAGCGCGAGUAGGCUGGAUGGCAAGUCGGUUGUGAAAGCCCUCAGCUCAACUGAGGAAGUGCGCCCGAAACGACCGUUCUUGAGUGCCGGAGAGGGUGGCGGAAUUCCCGGUGUAGAGGUGAAAUUCGUAGAUAUCGGGAGGAACACCAGUGGCGAAGGCGGCCACCUGGACGGACACUGACGCUGAGACGCGAAAGCGUGGGGAGCAAACAGGAUUAGAUACCCUGGUAGUC
Molecule: ribosomal RNA, 300 nt
Filed under: uncultured archaeon
Lineage: Archaea
Description: bacterial SSU rRNA
Rfam family: Bacterial small subunit ribosomal RNA
Source: RNAcentral